RNAcentral lists this transfer RNA (87 nucleotides) under Bacteroidetes bacterium GWF2_35_48. Its description in RNAcentral is "tRNA-Ser". It matches the Rfam family "tRNA". From Rfam's summary of the family: Transfer RNA (tRNA) molecules are approximately 80 nucleotides in length. RNAcentral also lists the same sequence under 4 other names. The record is from RNAcentral. Lineage: Bacteria; Pseudomonadati; Bacteroidota.
GGAGAAAUGGCAGAGCGGUCGAAUGCGGCGGUCUUGAAAACCGUUGUCCGAGCAAUUGGACCGGGGGUUCGAAUCCCUCUUUCUCCG